CUGUGAGGGUUGCUGGAGGUAUCAGAAGUGCGAAUGCUGACAUAAGUAACGAUAAAGCGGGUGAAAAGCCCGCUCGCCGGAAGACCAAGGGUUCCUGUCCAACGUUAAUCGGGGCAGGGUGAGUCGACCCCUAAGGCGAGGCCGAAAGGCGUAGUCGAUGGGAAACAGGUUAAUAUUCCUGUACUUGGUGUUACUGCGAAGGGGGGACGGAGAAGGCUAUGUUGGCCGGGCGACGGUUGUCCCGGUUUAAGCGUGUAGGCUGGUUUUCCAGGCAAAUCCGGAAAAUCAAGGCUGAGGCGUGAUGACGAGGCACUACGGUGCUGAAGCGACAAAUGCCCUGCUUCCAGGAAAAGCCUCUAAGCAUCAGGUAACAUCAAAUCGUACCCCAAACCGACACAGGUGGUCAGGUAGAGAAUACCAAGGCGCUUGAGAGAACUCGGGUGAAGGAACUAGGCAAAAUGGUGCCGUAACUUCGGGAGAAGGCACGCUGAUAUGUAGGUGAAGCGACUUGCUCGUGGAGCUGAAAUCAGUCGAAGAUACCAGCUGGCUGCAACUGUUUAUUAAAAACACAGCACUGUGCAAACACGAAAGUGGACGUAUACGGUGUGACGCCUGCCCGGUGCCGGAAGGUUAAUUGAUGGGGUUAGCGGUAACGCGAAGCUCUUGAUCGAAGCCCCGGUAAACGGCGGCCGUAACUAUAACGGUCCUAAGGUAGCGAAAUUCCUUGUCGGGUAAGUUCCGACCUGCACGAAUGGCGUAAUGAUGGCCAGGCUGUCUCCACCCGAGACUCAGUGAAAUUGAACUCGCUGUGAAGAUGCAGUGUACCCGCGGCAAGACGGAAAGACCCCGUGAACCUUUACUAUAGCUUGACACUGAACAUUGAGCCUUGAUGUGUAGGAUAGGUGGGAGGCUUUGAAGUGUGGACGCCAGUCUGCAUGGAGCCGACCUUGAAAUACCACCCUUUAAUGUUUGAUGUUCUAACGUGGGCCCCUUACCGGGGUUGCGGACAGUGUCUGGUGGGUAGUUUGACUGGGGCGGUCUCCUCCUAAAGAGUAACGGAGGAGCACGAAGGUUGGCUAAUCCUGGUCGGACAUCAGGAGGUUAGUGCAAUGGCAUAAGCCAGCUUGACUGCGAGCGUGACGGCGCGAGCAGGUGCGAAAGCAGGUCAUAGUGAUCCGGUGGUUCUGAAUGGAAGGGCCAUCGCUCAACGGAUAAAAGGUACUCCGGGGAUAACAGGCUGAUACCGCCCAAGAGUUCAUAUCGACGGCGGUGUUUGGCACCUCGAUGUCGGCUCAUCACAUCCUGGGGCUGAAGUAGGUCCCAAGGGUAUGGCUGUUCGCCAUUUAAAGUGGUACGCGAGCUGGGUUUAGAACGUCGUGAGACAGUUCGGUCCCUAUCUGCCGUGGGCGCUGGAGAACUGAGGGGGGCUGCUCCUAGUACGAGAGGACCGGAGUGGACGCAUCACUGGUGUUCGGGUUGUCAUGCCAAUGGCACUGCCCGGUAGCUAAAUGCGGAAGAGAUAAGUGCUGAAAGCAUCUAAGCACGAAACUUGCCCCGAGAUGAGUUCUCCCUGACUCCUUGAGAGUCCUGAAGGAACGUUGAAGACGACGACGUUGAUAGGCCGGGUGUGUAAGCGCAGCGAUGCGUUGAGCUAACCGGUACUAAUGAACCGUGAGGCUUAACCUU
This 1686-nucleotide ribosomal RNA is filed under the name Escherichia coli. RNAcentral's name for it is "bacterial LSU rRNA". It matches the Rfam family "Bacterial large subunit ribosomal RNA", at positions 1261 to 2925 of the family's 2925-position model. The record is from RNAcentral. Lineage: Bacteria; Pseudomonadati; Pseudomonadota; Gammaproteobacteria; Enterobacterales; Enterobacteriaceae.